CACGUAGUUAGCCGUGACUUUCUGGUUAGAUACCGUCAAGGCGCUAGUAGUUACCUAGCACGUGUUCUUCUCUAACAACAGAGCUUUACGAUCCGAAGACCUUCUUCACUCACGCGGCAUUGCUCCAUCAGGUUUGCACCCAUUGUGGAAGAUUCCCUACUGCUGCCUCCCGUAGGAGUCUGGGCCGUGUCUCAGUCCCAGUGUGGCCGAUCACCCUCUCAAGUCGGCUACGUAUCACUGCCUUGGUAAGCCAUUACCUUACCAACUAGCUAAUACGCCGCGAGGCUAUCCAUGAGUGGUAGCAAAGCCACCUUUAAUGAAUUCGUCAUGCGACCAAUCCACCUAUGGGUAUUAGCAUCCGUUUCCGAAUGUUGUCCCCCGCUCACGUGGGCAAGUUCCUCACGUGUUACUCGACCCGUUCGCCUACUAAUCAGUCACUGCAAGCAGUGACGUCAUCGUUCGACUUGCUAUGUAUUAGGCAGUCGCCGUCAC
Molecule: ribosomal RNA, 492 nt
Filed under: uncultured Dolosigranulum sp.
Lineage: Bacteria; Bacillati; Bacillota; Bacilli; Lactobacillales; Carnobacteriaceae
Description: partial 16S ribosomal RNA
Source: RNAcentral